UGAGGAAUAUUGGGCAAUGCCCGCAAGGGUGACCCAGCAACGCCGCGUGGAGGAUGAAUGUCGUAAGAUUGUAAACUCCUGUUAGAGGGGAAGAAUAGUACCGGUUGGACCGGUAUAUGACUGUACCCUCAGAGAAAGCCCCGGCUAACUACGUGCCAGCAGCCGCGGGAAUACGUAGGGGGCAAGCGUUGUCCGGAUUUACUGGGUGUAAAGGGCGCGCAGGCGGGAUAAAAAGUCAGUGGUGAAAUCCUACAGCUUAACUGUAUAACUGCCUUUGAUACUUUUAUUCUUGAGUUCGGGAGAGAGAGACGGAAUUCCAGGUGUAGUGGUGAAAUACGUAGAUAUCUGGAAGAACACCAGUUGCGAAGGCUGUCUCUUGGUCCGACACUGACGCUGAGGCGCGAAAGCGUG
RNAcentral lists this ribosomal RNA (411 nucleotides) under uncultured bacterium. Its description in RNAcentral is "bacterial SSU rRNA". It matches the Rfam family "Bacterial small subunit ribosomal RNA", at positions 355 to 763 of the family's 1533-position model. The record is from RNAcentral.